This 253-nucleotide ribosomal RNA is filed under the name uncultured bacterium. Its description in RNAcentral is "partial 16S ribosomal RNA". It matches the Rfam family "Bacterial small subunit ribosomal RNA", at positions 524 to 776 of the family's 1533-position model. The record is from RNAcentral.
UACGAAGGGGGCUAGCGUUGUUCGGAAUCACUGGGCGUAAAGCGUAUGUAGGCGGAUUGUUAAGUCAAGGGUGAAAUCCCGAGGCUCAACCUCGGAACUGCCUUUGAUACUGGCUGUCUUGAGUCCGGGAGAGGUGAGUGGAACUCCUAGUGUAGAGGUGAAAUUCGUAGAUAUUAGGAAGAACACCAGUGGCGAAGGCGGCUCACUGGCCCGGAACUGACGCUGAUGUACGAAAGCGUGGGGAGCAAACAGG